Molecule: ribosomal RNA, 465 nt
Filed under: Vreelandella stevensii
Lineage: Bacteria; Pseudomonadati; Pseudomonadota; Gammaproteobacteria; Oceanospirillales; Halomonadaceae
Description: partial 16S ribosomal RNA
Rfam family: Bacterial small subunit ribosomal RNA
Source: RNAcentral
CCUACGGGGGGCUGCAGUGGGGAAUAUUGGACAAUGGGGGGAACCCUGAUCCAGCCAUGCCGCGUGUGUGAAGAAGGCCCUCGGGUUGUAAAACACUUUCAGUGAGGAAGAACGCCUGGUGGUUAAUACCCAUCAGGAAAGACAUCACUCACAGAAGAAGCACCGGCUAACUCCGUGCCAGCAGCCGCGGUAAUACGGAGGGUGCGAGCGUUAAUCGGAAUUACUGGGCGUAAAGCGCGCGUAGGUGGCUUGAUAAGCCGGUUGUGAAAGACCCGGGCUCAACCUGGGAACGGCAUCCGGAACUGUCAAGCUAGAGUGCAGGAGAGGAAGGUAGAAUUCCCGGUGUAGCGGUGAAAUGCGUAGAGAUCGGGAGGAAUACCAGUGGCGAAGGCGGCCUUCUGGACUGACACUGACACUGAGGUGCGAAAGCGUGGGUAGCAAGCAGGAUUAGAUACCCUAGUAGUC